Molecule: non-coding RNA, 22 nt
Filed under: Arabidopsis thaliana (thale cress)
Lineage: Eukaryota; Viridiplantae; Streptophyta; Magnoliopsida; Brassicales; Brassicaceae
Source: RNAcentral
UUAGCCAUCAAUAUUUGCCCUA